GCUCACUUCAGCAGCACAUACUCAAAUUAGAACCAUACAGAGAGAGAAGAUUAACGUGGCCCCUGCAGAAGGAUGAUACACAAACUCGUGAAGCAUUCCAUUUAAAA
This 107-nucleotide small nuclear RNA is filed under the name Castor canadensis (American beaver). Lineage: Eukaryota; Metazoa; Chordata; Mammalia; Rodentia; Castoridae. The record is from RNAcentral.